Vicia faba (fava bean) is the source of this 333-nucleotide non-coding RNA. Lineage: Eukaryota; Viridiplantae; Streptophyta; Magnoliopsida; Fabales; Fabaceae. The record is from the annotation of a GenBank genome assembly.
AUGGCUCCGAAGCAGGCAAGUACGGGUCUUUUUGUAGGAUUGAACAAGGGUCAUGUUGUUACCAAGAAGGAGUUGGCUACACGACCCUCAAGUCGUAAAGGGAAAACUAGCAAGCGGGUCCAUUUUGUGAGGAAUCUCAUCCGUGAGGUUGCAGGUUUUGCGCCUUAUGAGAAGCGAAUAACUGAGUUAUUGAAGGUUGGAAAAGACAAGAGGGCACUUAAAGUUGCCAAGAGAAAGCUUGGAACCCAUAAACGCGCAAAGAAGAAGCGCGAGGAGAUGUCUAAUGUUCUUAGAAAGAUGAGGGCUGGUGGUGCUGGUGAUAAAAAGAAGUAA